ACCAGCUCAAGAUUGACUCAGCCUUCCAUCCUUCCGAGCUGCUGCCCGUUGUUUUAUAUUCAAAGCUUGAAUGGAUUGUCUCUCUGGAAGGAACAUUUCAGCAAGGUAUGGAUUUGCACCCGCUAUCUUGAAUGAACCUUGCAGAGGUUGAAGUCGGAUUCGAUACUAAUAAUAAUAAUCAGGAGCAGAUGAAAUGCUUCCUCCAACAGGGAAGGAACCAGCUAUUCGCCUGCCUGCAGCAUUACUUGCUGUCUUUGAAUCAACCUGAAGAAUUGAUGAAUUGCCAGAUGACUGGAAAUGUUGUCCUUACUUCAAACAUGGGAGGAAAGAACAUCCAACCAGCUACAGAUCAGCCUGUGACAUCCAUACCUGGAAAAGUUCUAGUGUGAAUUAUAAAGAGAUUAAUUCAAAGAUAAAGGGAUAAAGAGAUUAACUUCUGUAACAGCCUGUUUGAAUACUGCAAACGUAACUUGAUUGUACCAUUUGUUGAAAGGAUUCUUAUAUCUUUCCUUUUAUUAGCAAAUGCCCAGCAGGCAAAGUUCUCUCCAACAGGACAUCCUGUUUGUCUUCGGGGUGAAUCAGAAAGGGACAUAGAAGCAGUUUAAAACCUGAGAAAUUCCAGUGCAUAUGUGAAAGUUUUGAUUAAUGUCUGCAUCUCAGAUUGCAAUUAAAGCACAGGAGGAAGCUAGUCAACAAACACAUGAUAUUGUAAGUGAAUAUAACCUCAAUGUUCUCUUCAGGUUUGGGGGGAAUGUAACAUUGGAAUAAUGAAUACUUGCAAACACAGACACAUGAAGAGAUUUAGUCAAUGUGUCAGUCCUUCCAGCUUCUGUCUUGCAGCUUCUCCUGUAUCCUUAACACCAGGCCAUGAAAGUGCCAGAGUGUAAAAAUGCAAAGAAAGCUUCAUUUUUUUGUACUUGAUGGAAAUUCAUCAGAGGCUAGGCCACUGCUAGAACAUGGUUAUUUUUUUAAGCAAAUAAAAGAACUUAAUCUCUCUCUUAUCUAGACUAUUCCAAAGUAUUCACUAUUAAAUAUCCACCACUUCUAGUGGCCACUGUAACUUAGCCUAGCCAUUUAUGGUGUUUGAAUCUGAUCUACUUUUAGGAGACUGUUUAUGACUAAACUGGUUCUCAAAGGGGAAACAAAACAAGUCUUAACUUUGGAUCUAAUGAUUAGGUCAGCCCCUCUGUCCCAUUCUGCCUUUAUGCUAGAAUCCACUAAAGCAAUCAGGAGAUAAGAACAGAGACUGCCUGAACUGAUAAAACUAAUCUGAUAGCAUAACAAUGGCCUCGCCUCUAAAAUAUAUUAAGUCAGAGGAAGAGAAUAAGAAAAGAACCAUAACCAGGGACAAUUGUAGUAACUCGUGCUUAGUUAUCUCCAGGAAUCCUGCAUACAUUCUCCAUGUUUUAUUAAGUAUCACAGAUAUCAAUCCUGUUAACAUUUAAAAAACAUUUUUAUAACACACUAAACAUUGCUGUCAGUGCGUAAAUAUGACAUAUUUAAAAACAAACAACCUUGUGUAAAGCUAUGCAAACAAAGGUAGAAUUGUAAAUGAGAACCAGUAAGGUAGGGGUGUGUGUGUGUGUGUGUGUGUGUGUGUGUGUGUGUGUGUAUUAAGUGUUA
Molecule: long non-coding RNA, 1623 nt
Organism: Thamnophis elegans (Western terrestrial garter snake)
Lineage: Eukaryota; Metazoa; Chordata; Lepidosauria; Squamata; Natricidae
Exons: 3
Source: RefSeq, a predicted model, not a curated record